CCUCGCGAGAGGGAAUCUGAAGAAAGCCGUAUACAAAAUGCUGAUUUGACGAACAGGAAGUGCAUAUGAGGCUGGAGCUUCUAGGACAAGGGUGCGGUUGAAUCCGAAGUCCAAUACUUACCCGGAAGAAGCUAAAGUAGAUGCAACAGAUUAGCAGGAAAGUUU
RNAcentral lists this non-coding RNA (165 nucleotides) under zebrafish metagenome. The record is from RNAcentral.